UAAUUGAAAUAAUUUUGAGGCAUCGCCUCCUGAAGGUGCCCUGCCGAGGCGGCGCCAAUUGCACUGACACUCCGCCUUGUCCGGUGUUUUAGGUAAUGAUUUCCCCGUCCCGGUCCUGUUCUGCAGCAACUGCUCGGUGAACCCGGUGCCCUGUCACUGGCCGCACAUCUGCGGAGGCGGGAGGCGGCGCAGAGCGCGGGGUCCGGCCGCCCGAUCCCGAAGAGUUCCCAGGCUUCAGCCGCAGACGAGGAGGGAUCCCGUAGGCCUCGAGUCCCUGGAAGCCCAGAGAUGGAAGAUAGCCGAGAUGAUCAUAAUUCCCACCAUCGCCGUCCUCUUCAUCGGCAUGGGAUCGAUUCUGAUUAUUAUCCUCCUGUGGAUGAAGCAGGUGCGACAGUUGGCAGCGAAUUGCAACCAGGGCUACCGAUACCUGAAAGACGAG
Molecule: long non-coding RNA, 439 nt
Organism: Hypanus sabinus (Atlantic stingray)
Lineage: Eukaryota; Metazoa; Chordata; Chondrichthyes; Myliobatiformes; Dasyatidae
Exons: 3
Source: RefSeq, a predicted model, not a curated record